This 1417-nucleotide ribosomal RNA is filed under the name Vibrio cyclitrophicus. RNAcentral describes it as "bacterial LSU rRNA". It matches the Rfam family "Bacterial large subunit ribosomal RNA", at positions 1550 to 2925 of the family's 2925-position model. The record is from RNAcentral. Lineage: Bacteria; Pseudomonadati; Pseudomonadota; Gammaproteobacteria; Vibrionales; Vibrionaceae.
CUAACGCUGAGAUACGAUGUCGAGCUACUACGGUAGUGAAGUCAUUGAUGCCAUGCUUCCAGGAAAAGCCUCUAAGCUUCAGAUUGUAAGGAAUCGUACCCCAAACCGACACAGGUGGUCGGGUAGAGAAUACCAAGGCGCUUGAGAGAACUCGGGUGAAGGAACUAGGCAAAAUGGUACCGUAACUUCGGGAGAAGGUACGCUCUUAUCAGUGAAGUCCCUUGCGGAUGGAGCAGACGAGAGUCGCAGAUACCAGGUGGCUGCAACUGUUUAUUAAAAACACAGCACUGUGCAAAAUCGUAAGAUGACGUAUACGGUGUGACGCCUGCCCGGUGCCGGAAGGUUAAUUGAUGGGGUUAGACUUCGGUCGAAGCUCUUGAUCGAAGCCCCGGUAAACGGCGGCCGUAACUAUAACGGUCCUAAGGUAGCGAAAUUCCUUGUCGGGUAAGUUCCGACCUGCACGAAUGGCGUAAUGAUGGCCACGCUGUCUCCACCCGAGACUCAGUGAAAUUGAAAUCGCUGUGAAGAUGCAGUGUACCCGCGGCUAGACGGAAAGACCCCGUGAACCUUUACUACAGCUUGGCACUGAACAUUGAACCUACAUGUGUAGGAUAGGUGGGAGACUAUGAAAUUGCGUCGCUAGAUGUGAUGGAGUCGUCCUUGAAAUACCACCCUUGUAGUUUUGAUGUUCUAACGUUGGUCCCUGAAUCGGAUUACGGACAGUGCCUGGUGGGUAGUUUGACUGGGGCGGUCUCCUCCCAAAGAGUAACGGAGGAGCACGAAGGUGGGCUAAACACGGUUGGACAUCGUGUGGUUAGUGCAAUGGCAUAAGCCCGCUUGACUGCGCGAAUGACAAUUCGAGCAGGUGCGAAAGCAGGUCAUAGUGAUCCGGUGGUUCUGAAUGGAAGGGCCAUCGCUCAACGGAUAAAAGGUACUCCGGGGAUAACAGGCUGAUACCGCCCAAGAGUUCAUAUCGACGGCGGUGUUUGGCACCUCGAUGUCGGCUCAUCACAUCCUGGGGCUGAAGUCGGUCCCAAGGGUAUGGCUGUUCGCCAUUUAAAGUGGUACGCGAGCUGGGUUUAGAACGUCGUGAGACAGUUCGGUCCCUAUCUGCCGUGGGCGUUGGAAAAUUGAAAGGGGCUGCUCCUAGUACGAGAGGACCGGAGUGGACGAACCUCUGGUGUUCGGGUUGUCAUGCCAAUGGCAUUGCCCGGUAGCUAAGUUCGGAAUCGAUAACCGCUGAAAGCAUCUAAGCGGGAAGCGAGCCUUGAGAUGAGUUUUCCCUGGCACUAUAAGUGUCCUAAAGGGUUGUCGUAGACUACGACGUUGAUAGGCAGGGUGUGUAAGUGCUGCGAGGCAUUGAGCUAACCUGUACUAAUUGCCCGUGAGGCUUAACCAUACAACACCCAAGGGGUUU